RNAcentral lists this ribosomal RNA (492 nucleotides) under uncultured bacterium. Its description in RNAcentral is "partial 16S ribosomal RNA". It matches the Rfam family "Bacterial small subunit ribosomal RNA", at positions 29 to 507 of the family's 1533-position model. The record is from RNAcentral.
AGUGAACGCUGGCGGUAGGCCUAACACAUGCAAGUCGAACGGCAGCACAGUAAGAGCUUGCUCUUACGGGUGGCGAGUGGCGGACGGGUGCGGAAUACAUCGGAAUCUACUUUUUCGUGGGGGAUAGCGUAGGGAAACUUACGCUAAUACCGCAUACGACCUACGGGUGAAAGCAGGGGAUCUUCGGACCUUGCGCGAUUGAAUGAGCCGAUGUCGGAUUAGCUAGUUGGCGGGGUAAAGGCCCACCAAGGCGACGAUCCGUAGCUGGUCUGAGAGGAUGAGCAGCCACACUGGAAGUGAGACAAGGUCCAGACUCCUACGGGAGGCAGCAGUGGGGAAUAUGGGACAAUGGGCGCAAGCCUGAUCCAGCCAUACCGCGUGGGUGAAGAAGGCGUUCGGGUUGUAAAGCCCUUUUGUUGGGAAAGAAAAGCAGCAGGUUAAUACCCCGCUGUGCUGACGGUACCCAAAGAAUAAGCACCGGCUAACUUCGUG